UGGGGAAUAUUGGACAAUGGGCGAAAGCCUGAUCCAGCAAUUCCGCGUGUGUGAAGAAGGCCUUCGGGUUGUAAAGCACUUUAGUGGGGGAAGAAACAGCUUGGCCACACCAAGCCUUGACGGUACCCCAAGAAUAAGCACCGGCUAACUCUGUGCCAGCAGCCGCGGUAAUACAGAGGGUGCAAGCGUUAAUCGGAAUUACUGGGCGUAAAGGGUGCGUAGGUGGUUUUUUAAGUCGGAUGUGAAAGCCUGGGGCUCAACCUCAGAAUUGCAUUCGAUACUGGGAAACUAGAGUUCGGUAGAGGGCGGCGGAAUUUCCGGUGUAGCGGUGAAAUGCGUAGAUAUCGGAAGGAACAUCAAUGGCGAAGGCAGCCGCCUGGGCCUGGACUGACACUGAGGCACGAAAGCGUGGGUAGCAAACA
RNAcentral lists this ribosomal RNA (422 nucleotides) under uncultured bacterium. Its description in RNAcentral is "partial 16S ribosomal RNA". It matches the Rfam family "Bacterial small subunit ribosomal RNA", at positions 355 to 774 of the family's 1533-position model. The record is from RNAcentral.